RNAcentral lists this ribosomal RNA (253 nucleotides) under uncultured bacterium. RNAcentral describes it as "partial 16S ribosomal RNA". It matches the Rfam family "Bacterial small subunit ribosomal RNA", at positions 524 to 776 of the family's 1533-position model. The record is from RNAcentral.
GACAGAGGGUGCAAACGUUGCUCGGAAUCACUGGGCGUAAAGGGCGUGUAGGCGGUCAGGUAAGUCGGGCGUGAAAUCCCUGAGCUCAACUCAGGAACUGCACUCGAAACUACUUGUCUUGAGUACCGGAGAGGAAAGCGGAAUACCUGGUGUAGAGGUGAAAUUCGUAGAUAUCAGGUGGAACACCAGUGGCGAAGGCGGCUUUCUGGACGGUAACUGACGCUGAGACGCGAAAGCGUGGGGAGCAAACAGG